CAAGUACUCCCUCCGUCCGAAAAUACUUGUCAUCAAAAUGGAUAAAAAAGAUGUAUCUAGAACUAAUAUACAUCUAGAUCCAUCCCGUUUUAUUCAUUUUGAUGACAAGUAUUUCCGGACGGAGGGAGUACAAC
This is a non-coding RNA of Triticum aestivum (bread wheat), 134 nucleotides long. The record is from Rfam. NCBI's taxonomy places the organism in Eukaryota, Viridiplantae, Streptophyta, Magnoliopsida, Poales, Poaceae.